RNAcentral lists this ribosomal RNA (247 nucleotides) under uncultured bacterium. Its description in RNAcentral is "partial 16S ribosomal RNA". It matches the Rfam family "Bacterial small subunit ribosomal RNA", at positions 335 to 600 of the family's 1533-position model. The record is from RNAcentral.
UGCCUACGGGGGGCAGCAGUGGGGAAUAUUGCACAAUGGGGGAAACCCUGAUGCAGCAACGCCGCGUGAGUGAAGAAGUCAUUCGUGAUGUAAAGCUCUAUCAGCAGGGAAGAAAAUGACGGUACCUGAGUAAGAAGCCCCGGCUAACUACGUGCCAGCAGCCGCGGUAAUACGUAGGGGGCAAGCGUUAUCCGGAUUUACUGGGUGUAAAGGGAGCGUAGACGGCCAGACAAGUCUGAAGUGAAAA